This 642-nucleotide ribosomal RNA is filed under the name Cryphalus sp. 4403Gnetum. RNAcentral's name for it is "partial large subunit ribosomal RNA". It matches the Rfam family "Eukaryotic large subunit ribosomal RNA", at positions 406 to 790 of the family's 3401-position model. The record is from RNAcentral. Lineage: Eukaryota; Metazoa; Arthropoda; Insecta; Coleoptera; Curculionidae.
CGUUUAGGGGUAAACCUGAGAAACCCGAAAGGUCGAAGGAAGAAAUUCAAUCGCGCCCGAUAAGGUUAUUAUAUGGCAUUGGUGUCUGAAUGUGAACUUGUUCACAUUCAAACCUGUCAUAUAAUAUGUGUACCUUGUUGGACGCGUGCACUUUUCUUCUGGUAGGACGUUGCGAUCCGUUGGGUGUUGAUCUAAGGUUCGAAUGGUAGCCCACAAUUAGUUGCCCUUACGGGUAACUAAUUGUGGACCUUUGAUACCCGAUCAACUGGCUCGACGGUAUAAAUGUUAUGAUUUUAGGCCGCUCAUUUGUGAGCGUUCGGCUUGUGGCAAGCACGUCAAAUGUUUUAGUACAUCGGACCUAGUGCCGUGUCUAAUCAUUGAUGUCUGUUGGCUGCUUUGUCUCGGACAGACCGUUUAAAAUCAAUCAGCAACGAUAUAGCUUUGGGUAAUUUCAGGACCCGUCUUGAAACACGGACCAAGGAGUCUAGCAUGUACGCAAGUCAUUGGGAAUCACAAAACCUAAGGGCGCAAUGAAAGUAAACGUUGAUCUUUACGGUUAACGAUGGGAAGACGGGCGUAUUUAACUAUUAUAGUUGACGUUCUGCANUCCUGGGGCGUCUCAUUCUCAUUUUAGGAUGAGAA